CAGGACGGCUGUUGAUCUUAGUUAAACGGGGGCCCUGCUGCCACGUGUAGUUGGAUGCAGCUCUCUGUGUCAUUUCCGACCUGGAUUCCAGUCCUGAGUCGUUGGCUUGCAGGAACUUAAUUUUCAAGGCAGGCAAUAUUAUUAGCAGGGCGUGCCUACCUAGCCUUAGUGAUUAACGAGUUCAGCCCCACCAAGUCUAUUUCCUGGUGCUGUCGCUAUUGCAUUUCUGAUCAUCACUUGUCUCCUCAGUGCUCCUUAUCAUUGAUGGCUUUGUGGACUCGAAUGCUCGGCACAUGUUUCCUAGCUGUGGCUGGUAGCCUAAGCUGGUUUUCCCCAUGUGACAGUAGUUUGCUGCCUAGAGAGAUGAAUUUAUCAAGUAUCUCUACAACUUGUCUACUUGAAUUUCUUCCACCUCCGAGAUCUUAGUUUUCACUUGAGAAGUGUAUUGUUCAUAACUAUAUGUUUUCUGAUGAAGACUCUUAAACAUUAUUCACACACCAGCUGCAAAGGGGGCGUGAUCUGCAUUACCCACAGUGAAAACAUCAACCAAAACUUUACUGGUGUUUGCAAGCACAUGUCUCAAUAUGAAGCUAUCUCAUGGCUUAACAGAUGUGCAGCUAGGAUGCAUGCCUAUCUCUGUCUAGACCUUAGAUGAUAUCAAGAGAAUGAUUCUCCAGUUGUACCCUGAUCCUGAACCUUCUCAUGGAUCUUGAAUUAGACCUAAGGGGCUAUUAGAUGGCAGUGCCUCAUCAAGACUUGCAUAGCAUGUUCAGCUGUGAGACUCAAUGGCCACUUUGAGUCCAAGAAUGGGAGCUGUCAAAGGGAGAUUGCAUUUGAAAUGACUCUCAGGUGAAGGACAGGGACUGCAUGUUCACUGAAGGUCACUCUGCAGUGAAAGUAAUUCUAUGCAACAGGACACAGUUUGAGUCUGAGGAGCUGGAUCAACUCCAAUGCAUUAAGAUCAGUGUUGUUGAAAGAUAUCUGCGAUAGACCAGUGGUAUACUGACAGAUCACCUGUGGGAAUAAACAGCCUAAGGGUGUCUGCAUGGUGGCACCUUGUACUCAUGGAAGCAUGACAUUGCUGUAGCAUCACCUUCCAGAAAAGAGCACAGUCUGGGACAUACCUGUUCACAGGAGGUAAAGUACUUACUGCUGGUUUGCAAGGAGCAGCAUAACAAGGUCUCAUUUGGAAGCUUCAAUUCAACUCAAGAAGAUCCAGUAAUUUUUCUAAGUGAGAUGAUCUGUGAAGAUCAUGCCUGCAAAGAACUGUGAAGGCAAGCAGCUAGGCUCCCUUUACUGAAUGUGCUAAGAGCAUGAAAUAUAUCUCUUAUAUUUACAGUUAUAGAAAUAAAGUUAUAUUCUAGAAAUAUAACUUAGAUUGUUAUCAUAGCAAUAAAGUAGGCCUGUGAGUUAUUUGCAGUCUGCAAUUUUUCCUGGUCAGAUUUGUAGUUGGCCUCAAGUAAUUUCUUUGUGUUGCUUGGGAAAUUGAAUUCCCUUCCCCCUCUGUAGCUUGGUGGCUGAGUACAAAUACAACUGCUUCGAUGUUUUAAGAGCAUCGAGUGACUGUUUUUUUCCAGGCUAGAAGACAUAUUGCUGAGAAGUUCCACUGACUAAAUGUCUGUUCUCUCAAACAGACAUUGGAAAGCAUGUUUGUAAUUUCAUACUCUGUUUUGUUAGAUAUAUACAAAUGCGGAACUAAAACCAAACAAAAAUCCAUUCCCUAAAGAGAAUAAGUGUACACAAUCUGUACAGAAAACUAUUUCCAAGCAAUACAGACACUAAAUGGUAUUCUUAAGUUUUCUUUUUAAUAUCAUUUUACUCCAAUAGCUCUAAUUAGCAAAGGCAAAAAUAAAUACCUGAAGCAUUU
This is a long non-coding RNA of Lepidothrix coronata (blue-crowned manakin), 1867 nucleotides long. RefSeq lists it as uncharacterized. The record is from RefSeq and is a predicted model, not a curated record. The transcript has 3 exons. NCBI's taxonomy places the organism in Eukaryota, Metazoa, Chordata, Aves, Passeriformes, Pipridae.